UAAGCAUAUCAAUAAGCGGAGGAAAAGAAACUAACAAGGAUUCCCCUAGUAACUGCGAGUGAAGCGGGAAAAGCUCAAAUUUAAAAUCUGGCGGUCUUUGGCUGUCCGAGUUGUAAUCUAGAGAAGUGUUAUCCGUGCUGGACCGUGUACAAGUCUCCUGGAAUGGAGCGUCAUAGAGGGUGAGAAUCCCGUCUUUGACACGGACUGCCAGGACUUUGUGAUGCGCUCUCAAAGAGUCGAGUUGUUUGGGAAUGCAGCUCAAAAUGGGUGGUAAAUUCCAUCUAAAGCUAAAUAUUGGCGAGAGACCGAUAGCGAACAAGUACCGUGAGGGAAAGAUGAAAAGAACUUUGGAAAGAGAGUUAAACAGUACGUGAAAUUGCUGAAAGGGAAACGCUUGAAGUCAGUCGCGUUGUCCAGGGAUCAACCUUGCUUUUGCUUGGUGCACUUUCUGGUUGACGGGUCAGCAUCAAUUUUGACUAUUGGAAAAAGAUUAGGGGAAUGUGGCAUCUUUGGAUGUGUUAUAGCCCUUGGUUGCAUACAAUGGUUGGGAUUGAGGAACUCAGCACGCCGCAAGGCCGGGUUUUAACCACGUACGUGCUUAGGAUGCUGGCAUAAUGGCUUUAAUCGACCCGUCUUGAAACACGGACCAAGGAGUCUAACAUGCCUGCGAGUGUUUGGGUGGAAAACUCGAGCGCGUAAUGAAAGUGAAAGUUGAGAUCCCUGUCGUGGGGAGCAUCGACGCCCGGACCAGACCUUUUGUGACGGUUCCGCGGUAGAGCAUGUAUGUUGGGACCCGAAAGAUGGUGAACUAUGCCUGAAUAGGGUGAAGCCAGAGGAAACUCUGGUGGAGGCUCGUAGCGAUUCUGACGUGCAAAUCGAUCGUCAAAUUUGGGUAUAGGGGCGAAAGACUAAUCGAACCAUCUAGUAAGCUGGUUCCUGCCGA
This 943-nucleotide ribosomal RNA is filed under the name Cortinarius ignellus. RNAcentral describes it as "eukaryotic LSU rRNA". It matches the Rfam family "Eukaryotic large subunit ribosomal RNA", at positions 35 to 964 of the family's 3401-position model. The record is from RNAcentral. Lineage: Eukaryota; Fungi; Basidiomycota; Agaricomycetes; Agaricales; Cortinariaceae.